UUCAGACUACGGAAGUCUACAGGCAGUAGAGGCAUCUGAUUAUUGCAAACAACUCCUAGUGAGGGAACCAGAUAGCGUUCCCUUCAGAAAACGUGAAAUCUGAAAAUGUGGUUGUCUGAACUAAAAGCAGGGUGCCCCAUUUUCACGUAAAUAAAAUCUAGAUCACCUGCUGCUUCAGUAUCUUGUUCAGGUUCCUCCUGCCAGACUCUUCACCGACACCCACUCUCUUCUUUUCCCUCACAGGUUAUAUGACCUGUUACUUAGCCCUUCGGGGCCUGUUUCCUCAUCUGGAACAUGAAGACAAAACACCUAUUUCAUAGAGGUGCUUUGUGGAUUAAAUGAGAAAAUGUUACUCCUUCCCUGCUCCUCCCUCCCCGCCCUCUUCAGAGAGCCCUAGGGUAAAUAAAUGUCUGAAGGGCUAAAGAUGCAAGACAAGGAGAGAUGCCCAUUAAGAUCUUCUGCUUUUCUAAAGACAACUAACUUAGCAAACACUGGAAAGCAACAGGGUUAAGAACGGCAGCAGACAUGAAUCCUUGAAACCACCACUCUGGGCUUAAGUCUGAUCUGAUUGGAAGAGCACACUGCCGAUCAAAUCCAAACUACGUACCACACUAAUUCGCAUGUUUAUUCAUUCAUAAACUUUGGAAGCUGUGAACACUACCAUAUUGGGUAGCAUGUAAUGGCUGUAGGGAGAGGCAACCAGAGCAGCUAAAGGCUACAUGUACUCCAUGAGACAUACUAUGUAAACAUGCUGAAUAAAAGGCAAAGUACAAUGUAAUUAGUCAACAACUCUUGAAAUUUUCCUGUAACUGAUUGUGGAGAGGUGGAAAUUUUUCCAUAGGGCUGACUGUAAGGUGUUAGAAACAUAUGCCAUUUGACUUGGAUGGAAUUAUUUGAGUUGACCCUUUCAGUGGCGGUCGGGGUCUUACUAUUUAAGACUCUUUCUCAACUAAGGAAGUAAUGUUAAUGCUUUCUAGUAUUGCAACUCUAAAUAAACCUUUUUACGAGUA
Long non-coding RNA from Echinops telfairi (small Madagascar hedgehog), 1010 nucleotides. RefSeq lists it as uncharacterized. The transcript has 3 exons. The record is from RefSeq and is a predicted model, not a curated record. NCBI's taxonomy places the organism in Eukaryota, Metazoa, Chordata, Mammalia, Afrosoricida, Tenrecidae.